Molecule: unclassified non-coding RNA, 1636 nt
Filed under: Drosophila virilis
Lineage: Eukaryota; Metazoa; Arthropoda; Insecta; Diptera; Drosophilidae
Description: GJ10707
Source: RNAcentral
UAUGGCAGUGUUUCUUACUUCCACGUCCAAAUGAUUUAAUUAAUCAUUCUACAAUAAGCAUUAGGCACAGUAAUGUUUAAUUGAAUUAAUGUGCGUGUACUUUAGAUAUUAGCAAUUAAAGAGUGUUAAGCGAUUAUUUUCUAAAAAGCUGUAUUAAAUGUUAGAACAUCAGUCGCUUUCACAGAACUCCAAUGGGCAAGGAUCAGCAUUUACUCGAAGCAGCUCGCAAUGGGGAUAUAAAAACCGUUGGCAAAUUGUUGGAGCUGACGACCAAGCGGCAUGGCCCACUGUCCAGCUUCCGUCGCAGCCCCAAUAUCAACUGCCAGGAUGUCAACGGCUACACCUCGCUGCAUCACGCCUGUCUCAAUGGUCACAGCGCCAUUGUGCGCCUGCUGCUGGCCCACAAUGCCCAGGUGGAUGUGCCCGAUGUGCGCGGCUCGACGCCGCUUUUCUUGGCCUCCUGGGCUGGCCAUCAGGAUAUUGUGAAAAUGUUGCUCUUUCACAGCCCCAUGCCGGCCAAUCCCAACGCACAAACAAUUGAGAACGAGACGCCACUGCAUUCGGGCGCCCAGCAUGGACACAAUGCUGUUGUGGCCAUACUCCUGUCAUAUGGCGCCGAUCCCACCAUACGCAACAAUAGCUUUCAGACGGCUCUGGACUUGGCUGCCCAGUUUGGACGGCUGCAGGCGGUGCAAACGCUGCUGCGCGUAGAUCCCGAUCUGAUAGCACCCUAUCGGCGUUAUGUUGAGGAUGACAAUCUGUCCGAGCUGCUUGGCUAUUCCAAUCAGUAUAGCGCCACGCCCACCAAGCACAUCUUCACGCACACUUGCCUGCAUCUGGCCAGCCGCAAUGGGCACAAAAAAGUGGUUGAAACGCUGCUCGCGGCUGGCGUUGACGUCAACAUACUCACCCACGCGGGCAGCGCGUUGCAUGAGGCAGCGCUCUGCGGCAAGAAGUCGGUGGUGGUUACGCUGCUCAAAGCUGGCAUCGAUGUGCAUGCCACAGAUGGCAAUGGACGCACUGCACUCGAAAUACUCGCCGACUAUCCGCCACACGUCACCUACGAGAUUGUGGCCGUCAUCAACGAAUUUACAAAUUUGGCUGAGGCGCAGCUGUUGCGCAGAAACCAGACGCAGCUGGUCAACAAUCUGGUUAUGGAGAAUGGAAGCGAAUCUGCGCUGCCCAAGCGUCUCUAUGAAAAGAACAUACAGCGGCCGAAUCAAGCCAAGCUAAGCGAUCAAUCGAAGCUGAGGAAGUAAGCCAACGCACUAACUGACUAUGUGACACGCCCCCCAUGUUACUGUUGUUGUUCUAAUUGUGAACUCAAUUAACCAUCAAACGCAAGCGGCAUUAAUUUGUAUGUGUGCUCAGAUCAGAUCAGCUCAGCUCCAGAUCCAGAACUCAUGCUCAUGGCUCGGAAUACAUAGAACUCAUACCGAACUCACGCACCCGCACUCGCACACCCACCAUUCACACACUCACACACAAGCACACACAAGCACACACACGCACGCACGCACUAGCACACAUCAGUUCAGAAUUGUAGAAAGCAAGACCAUCCACCAAAUGGACUUUCGCACUCUUUAAGCUCUUUGGACAAUUACACCAAACGGCCAGCAAACUAUUUGGACAUGAA